This 114-nucleotide ribosomal RNA is filed under the name Pteropus alecto (black flying fox). The record is from RNAcentral. Lineage: Eukaryota; Metazoa; Chordata; Mammalia; Chiroptera; Pteropodidae.
GUUUAUGGCCAUGUCACCCUGAACAAGCCUGUCUGAUCUUGGGAAGCUAAGCAGGGUCAGGCCUGGUUAGUACUUGGAUGGGAGACCACCUAGGAAGACUAGGUUCCAUAGGCA